CUUAAUUCCCACCUCUUCAAACUGCUAGAGCCACAGACAAUCCUGGAAUACCCCAAAAGAGAGGAGGCACACCAAUCAAUAAGAAGUGUUUCCAGCUGUAUCUACGAAAUGUCUCUCCAGAAUCACUGACAAUUCGGUUCACAUCAUAUGGCAAUUAGAUAAUUUUCUGAUGACUUUUAACUUACCUCCUCUCUUUUGACUUCUCCCUACACCAUAUCAGUGUCCAAAGUGUUGCCAAAACCACUUCGAAAAUGCACAUCUGUUUCUGUCUCUCCCUUAUAUUAUGCCUUCAAAUCAUGACUUCUUAAAAUGAUAUAAGGAAUUUUUACAGUUGGGUAAAAAAUUAAGUUGGAGCCUCCUUUAUAAUUGUUCCUGUACAUUUGCCAUCCCUCCAGACUUAAAGAAUAAAUUGAAGAACUUUGUACAGAAUAUUGACUUUCCUGUUGAUGUGCCAUCAUUUAGUACAGGAGAAACAACUCAGUGUAUACCUAUCUGCAAACUUUUCUAAUGAUAAUUUGUGCCUAUAGUCCUAUACUGAUGUGAAGUGUGAAAAAAUAUAUACCAGGAGAAACAAAGGAGAAUGGCACCAUAUAAUUGGUAGAUUUUCAUCCCAUAGUUUAUUUUCGUAUUUGCCUGCAAGGUCUUUUUUCAUACACUAAAUCAAGCCCUGCCUGUUUUUUUUGUAGAUAGAACUUUUUUCCACCAAUUGUAUAAUUUA
RNAcentral lists this long non-coding RNA (718 nucleotides) under Homo sapiens (human). RNAcentral describes it as "HSALNT0045332". The record is from RNAcentral. Lineage: Eukaryota; Metazoa; Chordata; Mammalia; Primates; Hominidae.